Molecule: long non-coding RNA, 334 nt
Filed under: Sus scrofa (pig)
Lineage: Eukaryota; Metazoa; Chordata; Mammalia; Artiodactyla; Suidae
Description: lncRNA (ENSSSCG00070020858.1)
Source: RNAcentral
AAAAGGUGUGAGGGGUGCUUCAGAUAGAUACAGAUUUCUUCCCAGAACAUCCAGCCACCUGAGAGAUAAGUUCUGAAGCCAGAGGGAGCCACAUUUGCAUGUACUUACUUGUUCAUAGCCAUUUGAAGGUACAAAUUUCUCGACAAACUUAUCACCCUAUGUUGGUUUUGUUUUUCUCUAUCCCAUCAGGGGUCAACAAAGGAAACUGCUGUUUUCCAGAUGGAGUACACAACCUAUUCUUAAGCCAUUCUCCCACAUGGAGAUUAAGAAACUACUUCAGUAAAUAAAUGGAACUCAUUUAAAGAAUGAGAACAUGAAGCAGGAUUAACUGGAC